AGUAGAUCAGCGUACCUGUAGCCAACAGCAUCUUCAAAGAAAUUUGUAACCACUUGCGUAGAAGGAAGCGAAAAUCAAGAUGAAGAUUGUUUUGAUUUUGUUUGCAGUUGUUCUCUUUGUUUCUGGAGCUGACGCUCUUAAGUGUUAUGUGUGUGAUAACUGUAGUAGUCCUACAAAAAGCACUGAAUGCGACUCGAAGAGCGACAGAUGUCAACUCGAUGUGCUUAGCGGAA
Molecule: long non-coding RNA, 233 nt
Organism: Anneissia japonica
Lineage: Eukaryota; Metazoa; Echinodermata; Crinoidea; Comatulida; Comatulidae
Exons: 2
Source: RefSeq, a predicted model, not a curated record